RNAcentral lists this small RNA (118 nucleotides) under Polaromonas naphthalenivorans. Its description in RNAcentral is "Guanidine-I sequence". It matches the Rfam family "Guanidine-I riboswitch aptamer". From Rfam's summary of the family: This family represents a conserved RNA structure found upstream of the ykkC and yxkD genes in Bacillus subtilis and related genes in other bacteria. The function of this family is unclear although it has been suggested that it may function to switch on efflux pumps and detoxification systems in response to harmful environmental molecules. Lineage: Bacteria; Pseudomonadati; Pseudomonadota; Betaproteobacteria; Burkholderiales; Comamonadaceae. The record is from RNAcentral. RNAcentral also lists the same sequence under 1 other name.
ACAAAUGACAGCUAGGGUUCCGGCCACUUGUUCGCAAGCGGUGUCUGGUCCGAGAGCAGUCGGCCAGCAGCGGCCCACACCACUGCAGGUUCCACGGCGGGACAAAAGCCCGGGAGGU